GACCGGUCACACCUAGCCAAGUUCUAGAAGGUUUCCUUCAAAUGUGCUUUCUACACUACCCUAUCUACUAAGUACCCCUAUUGGGCCUUCAUGUACCAAUUACAAGGCUUUCCCAAACCGUAGCUUGAUCCAUGUGUGGUGAGCUAGACGGUCCUUCUAGAUGCUCCUUAUGUAGCCACUCCCCCAUCAUGGCCUAGACGCUCCAUAUCUU
RNAcentral lists this long non-coding RNA (211 nucleotides) under Phaseolus vulgaris (common bean). RNAcentral describes it as "long non-coding RNA (PVUL_LNC000166)". The record is from RNAcentral. Lineage: Eukaryota; Viridiplantae; Streptophyta; Magnoliopsida; Fabales; Fabaceae.